Molecule: long non-coding RNA, 1636 nt
Filed under: Actinidia chinensis (golden kiwifruit)
Lineage: Eukaryota; Viridiplantae; Streptophyta; Magnoliopsida; Ericales; Actinidiaceae
Description: long non-coding RNA (ACHI_LNC003901)
Source: RNAcentral
AGUAAAUUUGAUUUAUUUUUUUAUUUAUUUUAAAUAAAAAAACUAAAAAAAAACUGAAAAAAGCCGUGGGACAAUUCAUCCAUGCUGCCCUUUUUCUUCUCAAUUCUUCUGCCAAACAUCACCGCAUCGUCAAUCUUCAAUCCCUAAUCGCUGGCGUUCUAUCGAUCUCCCAAAGGUAAGUCCUUUCCGGCUAAAUUUCUCAUUCGUUUUUCAAUCAACCGCCGAUUUCCGAUCCCCUUUGUUGUAUAUCUUGCAAUUUCGAUCAUUCAGCCUUUGUAUUGUUGUUUUUGGUGUUGGAUCGAUUUUUGUACCGUAGCGAGAGAUUGAUCUCGGAACUUUCUCUAAUUUCCCUAUUUAUUGUCAUUUUAGAGCAGCGAUCACAAAUGGAAUUGUUGUUAAGCUAAACGGUUUUGAAUUUCGGGUAUAAUUUGACUUCCAAUUGUUUUCCGAUUAUUCAUCCGCCGAUAUGGAUGUUCUUUGUUGCAUAACUCGCUAUUCAAUCGUUCACGGUAAUUUCUACCUCAUUAAUUAUAAUUCACUAUUGUUGCUUUUGGUGUUGUAUGGAUUUGAGUCCUUAGCAAGAGAUUGAUCUCCGGACGUUCUCUAAUUUUGCCAUUUACUGUUGUUUUAGAGCAGAUCGCAAAAGGAAUUGUUGCUAAGCCAAAACGGUUUCGGAAUCAGGGUAUAAUUGAGUUUCAUGGCCCCAAUCAAUUUAUGGUUUGUUUUCCUUUGUGUGCACCGAUCCUUGUGCUCUAAAAAUCUCACGAAAACAGAUCGAGGCGAUUGAGAGGAGAUGAUUUGGAUGAAGAAGGGAUGGUGAAUAAAAAACUAAAGAAGGUAGUCAAAAAGUAGAGCAAUUGAUCAAAAUUCAUGCAUGAAAAACUGAAAUAGUUGGAAGAGGUUGAAAAAAAGGUGAAACCCCCUUUAAAGGGUAAUAAUUUUGGCGUAGAGAACAAUGUUUCUCUUUGUAUGUUAUUAUAGAUAUAUGAAUGUUUGGACAGGUGUCCUCAAUAUUUUAAAAUGAUUUAGGUACUGGAGUUUCACUAAUCUAAUUGAGUUCAAUGAUAUGUGCGUGUGUGUGUUUAAACAUCUUUACUUUUAUUUGUUGGGUGCAAGACAUGAAUUGAAAAGUUUUGCCACUUCAUACUCCAAUAUUCCUAUUCGAGAAUGAGAAAUAAACUAAAAUAUCAUACUAAAGUAAUUCUUAAAAAAUAAAAGCAGUAAAUAAAUAUGAUUAGAGACCUACAUGGAAAAAUUUCUAAGUUGAGUUUUGAUUAUUGACAUGGUAAGAAAUUCAUUCCAAUCUUUAAUUGAUUCAACUGAAAAAUGAAUGAACAAUUUGAGUGUCUUCGAUUUUAAAUUAUUCAACCUCGUCUAGUAUAGUGUGGUGUUUUUUCCUAUGGUAAUCUUGAAUAGGACUUGAAAAGAGAACAACAAAAAUGACAAAGCAAAACAACCAAAUAAACCGGAAAAAAAAUGCAACACCCUCGUGGUGGUCUUGAAAUAUUUGAACAAAUUGCUUGGAGAAUAUUUUUAGUCUCAAAAUUAUUUGUCAAUCCAAUCAAGGGAGACUCCACAAUUUUAAAAAAAGGAAGCCCACUAUUUAUCAAUUUAACUUGUAAAAGCAGAGAGAUGA